AGCCACCUCAGUUCUCUUUUACUGCCCUAUCCUUUCGCCGGGUUUCUCCUUUCAACCUUGAGAGAUAACUGACAUGGGCUUAGGAUACUCAGUCAUUCUGGAAUUCUGUAUCAGCACUGAAACAUGAGUGGGGAAAUUCUAAGAAAUUUACUUCUCUUUUUCUUUUCAUAUUUUCCUCAUUCCAAAGUGGAACUAAAUCGAGGUUCCCUAGCAACCCAGGGCUCUGUGAAGAUUCAUUAUUCUAUAAAAUCCCACCACCUUACAAACACAAAAUGUUACAAGUUGCCCAGUCACCCCGGCUUCUGAGAUGAAGAAUAUUAUUGAAGUCAAAUCUGGUGGCUAUCACACUCCAUGGAACUUGGGGCAACAUUUAGGUACCUCUACCCAGGAAAGAAUCUCUGAGAAAUAGGUGGCAGUUUCUCUAGCAGCAUAAGAAGAACCUUGAUAAGCAUCAUCCUUAAGUCCUGACAGCAGUGGAUGACUAGUCAGGAACCUGUCCAGGAGGACAUUGACAUGGAUCUGCCAGCUUUCUAAGACUUUCCCCAGAUUCAAGUCCAGUCACAUCAAGUUGCCUUAUUAAAGGGUCUGCCCACUCAAAAGGAGAAAGUGCAAAAGAUGCUCAGCAAGGGUAGCAAACGCAGUCAGAUGAUACUUCCUGACAGCAUCCAAGAGCAAGUCUCACCACCACAUCUGUCAAUAAAAAAGAAAACAAGGAGCUGCCAAUUUGUCUAUUUAUAGGUGCCAAUAAAAUCCUGCACAGAACUUUAGUCAACAAGACUAUUUCAGAAGGGGUGGCCAACAGUGUGGCCUUUCACUGGCAAGGGCCACCUUUGUCAUCACUUAAGAAAGAAAACCUGCCAAGUUUUCUGUGAGGCCCUCAAUAAAUCUUACUGAGUAUUUC
Molecule: long non-coding RNA, 901 nt
Organism: Homo sapiens (human)
Lineage: Eukaryota; Metazoa; Chordata; Mammalia; Primates; Hominidae
Product: long intergenic non-protein coding RNA 1333
Source: Ensembl